GGCGGCGUGGCCAAGUGGUAAGGCAAGAGUCUGCAAAACUCUGAUCAGCGGUUCGAUUCCGCUCGCCGCCU
This 71-nucleotide transfer RNA is filed under the name Armatimonadota bacterium. RNAcentral describes it as "Armatimonadetes bacterium (groundwater metagenome) tRNA-Cys". It matches the Rfam family "tRNA". Rfam says of the family: Transfer RNA (tRNA) molecules are approximately 80 nucleotides in length. Their secondary structure includes four short double-helical elements and three loops (D, anti-codon, and T loops). Lineage: Bacteria; Bacillati; Armatimonadota. The record is from RNAcentral.